RNAcentral lists this long non-coding RNA (918 nucleotides) under Sus scrofa (pig). RNAcentral's name for it is "lncRNA (ENSSSCG00070018396.1)". The record is from RNAcentral. Lineage: Eukaryota; Metazoa; Chordata; Mammalia; Artiodactyla; Suidae.
CCUAGCUGGGGAGCGGGUUGGGGGCAGUGCCCGUUUGGUGGGGCCUGUGGAUCAUAGGGGAAGACCAAGCAACAGAGGGGAUGGCCACAAUUUCCUACCACUUCUACUUUCUCCAUCCCUCCCUCCUGUUCUGCUCUCUACAUCUCUUGCUUUGUCCUCCUCCUGACCUGCCUUCUGUUGGUCCAUGAAAGUAAAUUCAAGUUACCUUAUUUUUGUAUUUUAGGAUGUUUACAAUCAUUGGGGUUUUCAAGUUGAAAUUGCAAAUCAAUCACCCAAUCUAAUUUAUUUUCUUUCCCCUUCUGCCCCUGAACACCAUGUUCAGUCUAACCCACAUGUAUGAAUUACCUUUCUCUUGCCAAGCAACUUGCAACUGGCGAAUACAGAGAUGGCGAAUUCUUCCUCACGUCUCUACCUACAAGUCACAGAGUAACUGGCAAAGAGAUCAUUACAACGGUAGAUAAGGAGUGCUAUCUUCUAGGAGAGCCAAAGAGGAGCUACAUUUACAGUAACAAUUGCCUGAACCUCCAUAAAUCAAGAGGGAGGGGGACUCAGGCCUGGAGUUGUUGACCGGGUUGUCAUAGCUGGCUGGGCUCUGGAGUGAGAAUGGCCAGUGUUGGGCACAAGGAAUUCAUCCAUAGAAGGAAGAAGACAUUGAGCAAAAUAUCUCAAUGAAGUAAUGGAUUUAGAUGCUGUCAGGAACAUCUCAACAGCACAGCAAUUUCUUCUACGUCAAACGUGACUUUUGGCACCAAGGGUAAGUUUACGGAGCCAAAGCUACACUCAGGUCAGGGUCUGACACUGUGUUAAACCAUCUUGAUGUGUAGCAUGCAGCUUGUGUUUUUUGAUAAGGUCAGCUGCAGUUGAUCCAUUAAACAUGAGGAGAAUAAAAAUAUAAGAGAAACAUAGUUCUUUAUGGAU